Coregonus clupeaformis (lake whitefish) is the source of this 1324-nucleotide long non-coding RNA. RefSeq lists it as uncharacterized. The transcript is spliced from 4 exons. Lineage: Eukaryota; Metazoa; Chordata; Actinopteri; Salmoniformes; Salmonidae. The record is from RefSeq and is a predicted model, not a curated record.
UAAAACAGGCCUGUCCUCUAAAGGCCCAGGCACUGCCGACAACAACAAAAUAGUCACCUGUGAUAUCGCCAUCGAACAGCCCAAGCCAGGCCUCAUUCCAAUGCAAAUUCAAUGCGCCCGGACUCCUACAUGCACCGCCACAUCAAUGGACAUGGGCUAUUUAAACAUUGCAGUCUCGACACGUACCUACUCCGUUUGCCUGUCAAAAUCUCCGACCAGGAAACAUGAAGCACCCGGCCCUCUACCUUUUAUGAGGAAAAACAAAUGUAGACGGGCCAGCAGCCCCCGAUGACCCGAAAGAACUACUACAACACAUUUAACAGACCUCUACUAAAUCAUCUGUGAUAGCAGUGGUGUGGUUCACACUGGGCUACCUCUCUACAAUGGUACCAGGAGAUUAUUCAAGGUCUGUAUCUUUUUCUAUGAAUGCUUCUACUGGUUUUAUGUGUGAACAAUUAGAACAACAGGGUGCCAUACUCUGAAACCACAAACGCCUUCCUCGAGGCCAGAAUUAAGUCUGAUGCUCUCGCCUCUGUUCCAAUGAAACAAUUAGAAGAGUGAGCCCUGCGGUAUGCUGGGAAUUACAGGCCUGUUUACAUGUAAAUAUGCUGCUGACCGCGUCUUCUCAAGGAUUGAUUUACUCUUUCUAUUUUUACCAGGUCUAAUUUGUAAAAGGAUUAAAACAUGCCUCGCCCAGUCACACAAACAAUAUGUUUGAAACUAUGCUGUAAAGACAUGCUAGUGCCACCAUAUAAUUACAGGAUUCUUGAUGCUUUUGAAAGCACGGUGCCAAUGCCUCAGGCUGGAAACAUAAACAUGCUCUGUUCCUCCGAGGACAAUCAUCCUAUCUGCAACGGUUAUCAGCGACACCAUGUCUGCAUCCCAAAUGGCAGCCUAUUCCCUGUAUAGUGCACUACUUUCGACUGGAAUCCUAUUGGCCGUGUUAUGCACUAAUAGGGAAUAGGGUGCCAUUUGGGACAUGUUCUUAAACAUGCCUUGUUCCUUCGAAAACAUUCCUCCUAUCUGAGAUUAUCAUCUUAUCUGUGGCAGUGGAAGUGGAUGUGUGUGUGGGUGCGUGUGUGUGAGUGCACGUGUGUGUGUGCAUGUGUAGGUGUGUGAGAGAGACUGUGGCGGGGUGUGAUGUGUCAGUGGGACUGUAGCAGCAGAGUGACAUGUAAGACAGCAUCUCUCUGAUUAACAUCACCUGGCUGUCCUGUGUGGCUAGAUCAGAUGGCAGUGGGAUGCUGGGGCACUUACAAGGGGAGGGACACUCGCACUUCAUUAACAGGUAGCCUACUCUCUCUCUCUCUCUCUCUCUCUCUCU